This 468-nucleotide ribosomal RNA is filed under the name uncultured bacterium. RNAcentral's name for it is "partial 16S ribosomal RNA". It matches the Rfam family "Bacterial small subunit ribosomal RNA", at positions 28 to 507 of the family's 1533-position model. The record is from RNAcentral.
GACGAACGCUGGCGGCGUGCUUAACACAUGCAAGUCGAACGGAAAGGCCCUGCUUUUGUGGGGUGCUCGAGUGGCGAACGUGUGAGUAACACGUGAGUAACCUGCCCUUGACUUUGGGAUAACUUCAGGAAACUGGGGCUAAUACCGGAUAGGAGCUCCUGCUGCAUGGUGGGGGUUGGAAAGUUUCGGCGGUUGGGGAUGGACUCGCGGCUUAUCAGCUUGUUGGUGGGGUAGUGGCUUACCAAGGCUUUGACGGGUAGCCGGCCUGAGAGGGUGAACAGCCACAUUGGGACUGAGAGACGGAGCAGACUCCUACGGGAGGCAGCAGUGGGGAAUAUUGCACAAUGGGCGGAAGCCUGAGGCAGAAACGCCGCGUGCGGGAUGAAGGCCUUCGGGUUGUAAACCGCUUUAGCCUGUGACGAAGCGUGAGUGACGGUAAUGGGUAAAGAAGCACCGGCUAACUACGUG